Molecule: long non-coding RNA, 446 nt
Organism: Gallus gallus (chicken)
Lineage: Eukaryota; Metazoa; Chordata; Aves; Galliformes; Phasianidae
Source: Ensembl
GACGCGUCGGGAGCGGCCCGGUUGCUCCUCCGGUAGCUUCAGGGCCGGCCGAGAGCCCUCUGCCAUGUGUGGUACUUUUAGAUCGUAUCGAGGACAGGAGAGAGGAAACGUGCUAAGAUCGCGGGCAGGACGACGGGCGCUGGGAGCGGUGCUGGCAGCGCCUUAUUUUCAUCGUCAUAGGGCGGAUCUGAAGGCAGUGUCUGUAACGGGCAGUUAAUGCUGCAUCUGUUUCUGGGGAAGAAUGUUCCAAACUAUUUUCUUUGGUGGGAGCGGUGCUGCUUUUACACACCGAGGGAUGAGUGCCAUCAUCAGAAGGAGUGAAUAAGAAGUGGAUUCACACUGCUGCUCACCUGCACCGUCAGUUACCCCCGCUGCAGGGCUGUGGGAACGUCGUGCUGCUUUAGAUAGUAAGUUGUGUUUCUAAUUCCUAAUUCUUACAUUUCUAU